GAGGCGGCCCUAGCGCCAUUUUGUGGGAGCGAAGCGGUAGCUGGGCUGCUCCUGGAUCCCUCGCUGCUUCGGUUUCCCUGUCGGGCUUCCUAGCAGCGGCCUAGCGGAAAGAGAAGAAAAGAUGUCCGAGUAUAUUCGGGUGACUGAAGAUGAGAAUGACGAGCCCAUUGAAAUACCAUCAGAAGACGACGGGACAGUGCUGCUGUCCACAGUUACAGCCCAGUUUCCUGGCGCCUGUGGGCUGCGCUACAGGAAUCCAGUGUCGCAGUGUAUGAGAGGUGUCCGGCUGGUGGAAGGAAUUCUGCAUGCCCCCGAUGCUGGCUGGGGGAACCUAGUGUAUGUUGUCAACUAUCCCAAAGAUAACAAAAGAAAAAUGGAUGAGACAGAUGCUUCAUCAGCAGUGAAAGUGAAAAGAGCUGUCCAGAAAACGUCUGAUUUAAUAGUGUUGGGUCUUCCAUGGAAAACGACUGAACAGGAUCUAAAAGAAUAUUUUAGUACCUUUGGAGAAGUUCUCAUGGUUCAGGUCAAGAAGGAUAUUAAAACUGGUCAUUCAAAGGGGUUUGGCUUUGUUCGUUUUACGGAAUAUGAAACCCAGGUUAAAGUAAUGUCACAGCGGCAUAUGAUAGACGGACGGUGGUGUGACUGUAAACUUCCUAAUUCUAAGCAAAGCCCAGAUGAGCCUCUGAGAAGCAGGAAGGUGUUCGUCGGGCGCUGCACGGAGGACAUGACCGCCGACGAGCUGCGCCAGUUCUUCUGCCAGUACGGGGAAGUGGUAGACGUCUUCAUUCCCAAACCAUUCAGGGCCUUUGCCUUUGUUACGUUUGCAGACGAUCAGGUUGCCCAGUCUCUUUGCGGAGAGGACUUGAUCAUUAAAGGAAUCAGCGUCCACAUAUCCAAUGCCGAACCUAAGCACAAUAGCAAUAGACAGUUAGAAAGAAGUGGAAGAUUCGGUGGUAAUCCAGGUGGCUUUGGGAAUCAGGGUGGGUUUGGUAACAGUAGAGGGGGUGGGGCUGGCCUGGGGAACAAUCAAGGAAGUAAUAUGGGCGGAGGGAUGAACUUUGGUGCUUUCAGCAUUAAUCCAGCGAUGAUGGCGGCGGCCCAGGCGGCGCUGCAGAGCAGCUGGGGCAUGAUGGGAAUGCUGGCCAGUCAGCAGAACCAGUCGGGCCCGUCAGGUAACAACCAAAGCCAAGGCAACAUGCAGCGGGAGCCAAAUCAGGCCUUUGGUUCUGGAAAUAACUCCUAUAGCGGUUCUAAUUCAGGUGCAGCCAUUGGUUGGGGAUCCGCAUCGAAUGCAGGGUCAGGCAGCGGCUUUAAUGGAGGCUUUGGCUCAAGCAUGGAUUCUAAGUCUUCUGGCUGGGGGAUGUAGAGAGUGGGCGUGGUAGAGACUGGUGGGAAUUCAAAUUUUUCUAAACACAUGGUAAGUAUAUUGUAAGAUACAUAUGUACUAAGAAUUUUCAAAAUUGGUUUGUUCAGUGUGGAGUAUAUUCAGCAGUAUUUUUGACAUUUUUCUUUAGAAAAAGAGGAAAAGCUAAAGGAAUUUUAUAAGUUUUGUUACAUAAAGGGUUGGAAUAUUGAGUGUUUGAAAGUGAACUGCUGUUUGCCUGAUGGGUAAAAACCAACACACUACAAUUGAUAUCAAAAGGUUUCUCCUGUACUCUCUUAUCCCUGGACUUGUCAAGUGAAUUCUUUGCAUGUUCAAAUGGAAACCAUUGGUUAGGACUACAUUCUUUUCUCCUUGUUUUAAUUUGAACCCCACCAUAUGGAUUUUUCCCUUAGGAAAAUCUCCUUCUUGGAGAUGAUGGUGUCACAGUGUUUGGUUCUUUUUGUUUUUGUUUUUUUAACACUUGUCUCCCUUCACAUGCAAAAGUACAAUAUGAAGCCUUCAUUUAAUCUCUGCAGUUCAUCUCAUUUCAAAUGUUUAUGGAAGAAGCACUUCAUUGAAAGUAGUGCUGUAAAUGUUCUGCCAUAGGAAUGCUUCUGCCUGCACGCUUUCUCACUCAAGAACUCGUCAGCACGCUGCACAGGCUGCGUCUUUGACGCCCUGAAUGCAAAGAAUUCAUAGCAGUUAAUUCCCCUUUUUUGACCCUUUUGAGAUGGAACUUUCAUAAAGUUUCUUGGCAGUAGUUUAUUUUGCUUCAAAUAAACUUAUUUGAAAAGUUGUCUCAAGUCAGAUGGAUUCCUCACCUGUCAUGCAUUGACACCUGAUACCCAGACUUAAUUGCUAUUUGUUCUUGCAUUGUCCAAAGUGAAAGUUUUUUGUUUUUUUUGUUUUUUCUUUUUAAAUCUAGUUUUUAAUAAGUCUGGGUGACCGCACCUAAAAUGGUAAGCAGCGCCCUCCGGCUUUUUACUAGUGCCUCUGUGCGUUUGGGUGAUGUUCUAUUUACAUGGCCUGUAUAAAUCUCCAUUGGGACUCUUGCCUUCUAAAAAUAUUCUUAUUUGGGGGAGUGGGAAGAACUCUGUUAAUUAUUUUCAAAUGCUUUGUAGCAAAGCAUAGCAGUCGAAAAGAAGGGCAUAUCAGCACCUUCCUAGCUUGGGAUUUGAAAAGUGGAAUUAAUUGCAGUAGGGAUAAAGUAGAAGAAACCACAAAUUAUCUUGUGCCUGAAAUCCAUUACAGAGCCUGAUAGCUUUAAGAACUAGCAGGGUGGGUUGUCUGUCUGGAAGUGUUAAGUGAAAUGGGCUUUGUCCCCCACAAGUGGGGGACUAGAGGAACGUUGAAUAAAAUCGUUUACAAACUCAGAUUAGACUCUCCCGGUGCAUUGUGAAGUAUGUAAAAGCAAUAAUUGCCGAUUCUCUGUUGUACUUUUUAUGUAACUGCUGCGAGAGUCGAGCUUGUUUUCUGAUGGAAGAAUGUGAACGGUUCCGUGUUGGUAGUUUUACCUGAGGCCCUUACCGGCUUAGAUGAUGAUAAAUGGGUUUGUCAUUUUGCACGUUGCGUGUUUGAAACUUUUAGAAAUGAAGUCGUCCUUUAGACUUGUGAUCGCCACGUUGUUUCGUUAUUCAGUUUCCUCUGUAAAAGGAUCUUGCGUUGUUUGAAUUUUUUUUUCUGCAUCUAAAUUGCAUGAUUUCCAAACCCUGUACCAUCUGAAUUUUGCAUUUUAGCACUUGCACUAUUACUCAGCAGCAGUAACAUGGUAACCCUUAAAAUGGUAUUCGGGGACCUCCAAAGACUAAACUGACAAGCCUCCAAGGAGCCCAGGGGUAAGUUCACUUGUCAAUGGCAUGGUUUUAAUCCCUUAUUUACACUUGUUGUAAACCUAGUUACCAGUCUUAGAAGGCUUUCAGUGUGGAGCAGCCUUCUGUUAACAUGUUUGUGGUACCAGUAGCUGUGGGUAUUUAAUUCUACCCUAGAAACAAGAGAAACAAAGAAAAUGAAGUCUAGAAGUAAACUAUUUGGCAAAGAUUUGUUUUGAAAAGUCUAUUUGGUCAUCUCAAUGCAUUCAUUCUCAAAACUUUUUGAACCAGUUGAAUAAAAAAUUUGUUGUCACCACA
Molecule: RNA transcript, 3489 nt
Organism: Neogale vison (American mink)
Lineage: Eukaryota; Metazoa; Chordata; Mammalia; Carnivora; Mustelidae
Gene: TARDBP
Gene name: TAR DNA binding protein
Exons: 7
Source: RefSeq, a predicted model, not a curated record